UUUUUUUUUGUACAGGCAGCGACUCCUGGACGACUGCUCACCCUUAUGUAUAUUCCUAAUCUUAAAUGAAAAGGCAGAUCACCUGCCGUUCGAGUAAAACAAAGUCUCCAAAGUGUUUGAUGCUUCUUCAACCCCUUCUUGCUUUCAAAAAUAAUAGCAGGCAAUAAACGCAAACAGUAACCGGCCGGAGGUACCGACUGAGCCACUUUAAUUCAUCUUAAGUGUGAUGACUGGUUAAAAUAUUUCUGGAGGCACAAAAGUCCCUCUGCUGCCAGCAAAAAGAGGGAAUGUGAAAGAGGAUUUCCCUGUCAGAUAGCUGUAGUGGAUUUAAAUUCAUCCAACUUCUUCCCACUGAACAUAACAGGAAAAGAAACAGAGCUCACUAUGUCCAUAACACUGAGGUCCACUGCAGAGAAAAGCCCAACUUGAUCAUAAUUGCUUCAAGAUAAGUCCAUUCAACCCGGUCAUAAGCCUUCCUCUUCAUGUCAAGUUUCAGAGCGCAUGACGCGUUUUUGGGCUUUGUUCCUCUUCAUAUGUAAGCAUUCAUAAGCCGAUAUGAUAUUAUCUGUAAUAAGGUGCUCUAUCAAAAGUUGAUUGCUAUUCAAAAUUGAUCUCAUGGAGUACUUUCUUUAACAAGUUACCCAAGACCUUAGAGGCAAUCUUGUACAGACUGUUGUGCAACCAAAUAGGCCAAAACUGAGAGAGACUAGAGGGGCCAGGGACCUUCAGAAUUAACACCAAAAAGUACUUGUUACUGACUCCACGAUGUCCUUACCCUCAACAGUUUUAAGAACCGUUCGAGUGACAUCCGGUCCACGCACUUCCCAAUGAUGCUGAAUUUUUUGGCCGGCAAACCAUCUGGGCUAGGAGCUUUCAAAAAAGACAUCUUGAAAAGAGCGCAUUUAAACACCUCUUUGGUGCAUGGUGCAGGCAUUAAAGAGUACAUAUUCUGCAACACCUUGCAAAGGAUAGUGUUCAAAACCUUCUCCAUCUCCAAAGCUCCUUCAGAACAUAUGUCGGGUCUUCACACUUGGCCCCACACACUGGUCGCGUGUGAAAAUGAAGGCACACCAUCAGUAACCUAUUAGUGUUAGCGUUCCAAAUAUGCCCACGCCACCGGUAUUUUGGAAAAGUAGUGGUGGUGUGGGUUGAAAGUAGCGAUGCUCAAACGUCGUUGUCAGCGGAUCCAACCACCAACGGUUAGAUCCUUGGUUUCACCUUGAAAAUAAAGUACAAGCAAAUCCAGGUGAUUCCUUCAACAAGGAUACAACGCAAAACACCGCCAUUGCCAUGUAUAACUAACUAGGAUCAAACCUAAGAUUUUCAUGCUGGAGCUCGAGGCUAGGUACUCGAGAAGCACCAGCAAAUCAAAAUCAUCAUGUGUUGCCGCCGCCAUCAUACCCCGCCUGAGCUUUGCCCCGCGGAGCUCCAACGGUGGCUCAAAGCCCUAGAUCGGGUCGGGAGGGAGAGGGUCGGUGGGAGGAGAUCGGGAGGGAGAGGGCCGAGGAGAGCGGUGGCGACAACACCUUUAUGCUUAGAAUAAAGUCAUUCAUAGUUUUAAGAUUUGACUUUUGAUGAGAUAUACUUUUUGAGAAAAUAUACAAUUUGUUUCUGUAAUUAACAUAUGUUAUACCUAGGGCCUAAUUUCAAACAUUGCACAGGGCCUCUCAUUUCUCCGGUACGGCCCUGCAGAUCAUGCAUUAGCAUCAUGUUUAACAUUUCCAUCACUGCUCCUUGCACUACAUGUAAUUCAACAGUAGCCUUGAUGGUUGGGUCCUACUUUUCCGCGCAGCGAAAAUAAAGUGUAUUGGUACGCCUGAGCUGCCUAUCCUUCCAAAAUUGACCAGUACCAAGACGGAGAACAGGCUUGGGUACCUCUGGUUUGUGUCCCAAAUGUUCAGUACGGCCAUGGAAGGGACGAGGUGCCCAGCCCACUGAUUGAGAUCUUCAGUUACCUCCUGCUGAACUUGUGCCAAUAGACUCCACUGUGACUCCACUGCACCUCGCAAAUUCAGGUAUCAGGCCACGGAUAAAUUGGGAUACAAAGAAUUGCUCGUCAUAUCAUGGGUUGGGCACUGAAAUCUGCUGCCGAUACUCUUCCACAGCGCUGGCGUUGCUUGAAUGAGAGUAAGGCCUUCAUGUGUUUCCGGUGAAAUGAAAUCGACCGCACGAGAAUCGGAGAAUCAGCACCGUGUACCCCGGCCACAGCCCCUCGGUCGGUGACAACUGCCGGCGUGAUUGCCGACGUGAGGUUCACUAUGCCCGACUUGGGAGAGAAGAAGAAGAAGACAUAGACGAGAGGUAGGAGUAGGAGGAGAGUUCAGUUUACUUUAUUCUUCAGACGUAGUAGAUUGUUUCAGUUUUACAGCACAAAGCUUAUAAGCUCCACACACGCGCGCGCGCGCGCUAGUACGCGACGCACGAUAGCUUUAACUUAACCCAUGCCUGCGCCACUUUAUUUACCGUCGUCCUCAUCGGUCGGGUGGCGCACUCCUCAGUCUACAGUACGUUUCGUCCCCAGACGUGACAUAGUUUCUCUACUUUUAGAGGCACCAGUUCAGCAGCAGAACCACGCCGAUCACCAAAAUGAAGAGGGAAACAAUCAGCCACAGAACUUCCUGCAGCAAUUCAGCUCAACUAGUCAGUUCAGUUCAGCAGUGAUACCAGAAUGC
This 2672-nucleotide long non-coding RNA is filed under the name Triticum aestivum (bread wheat). RNAcentral describes it as "long non-coding RNA (TAES_LNC002354)". Lineage: Eukaryota; Viridiplantae; Streptophyta; Magnoliopsida; Poales; Poaceae. The record is from RNAcentral.